UCACACAUACACAUUUCCUCCGUGCGGCCAGUUUAUCAGCUGUUUGCUUGAGUGAGCUGUACUGGCCGCACGGCACCCUAACUACCAUGGGACACUGUGCGGCCACAGCUCACACAGCCCCCUCCAGCCAGGGCCGGUGCAAGGAUUUUUGCCGCCCUAGGCAAAAGUAAAGUUUGCCGCCCCCUAUGUGACAUCACAAUGCCCCACCCAUAUGAUUUGCCAUGUUAACUAACGCCAGUGCUGCAGUGCCGCUGUGUUUACAUUAAAAGGCCUGCAGGGACAGGCUAUAGACACCAGAACCACUACAUUAAGCUGAAGUGGUUCUGGGGACUAUAGUGUUUCCUUAAUGUGAGGUAAAUUAGAGCUUAGUGCCACGAAUAAUAUACUAGAUUGCCUACUUACAACCAGAUGAGGAUGAUGAUGAGCUCUAGCUGCAGUCUGGCUCCACUGGUCUGGUGCAGAACAGGCUCUCUGGAGGCGGUUUGUAACUGUGGUCACAAAAAUCAAUGUUCUGGGAGAACGGGAAGCAGCUCCAUUUUUUGGGGGUCCUUUACACAGCUCAAGGUCUGGUCCCAGGGUCCACCUUCAUGUUCCACCAAUGAGUUUGUUCACAGGGGGUGGAGUGUGUAGGGGAUGUCCUGAUAUGUGUGUAAGGAAUGCAGUGUGUGAAAUUGUGAUUGUAUGUGUAAGGGCUGCAAGGUGUGUUUCUGUGUAUGUAUGGGAUGCAUUGAAUGUGUGUAAGGGGUGCAUUGAGUGUGUGUAAUGAAUGCAUUGUGUGUUUCUGUGUGUGUAUGGGAUGCAUUGUGUGUAACGGUUGCAUUGCUUGUGUAUGUGUGUCUGUGUGUGUAAUGCAUUGUGUGUUUUUCUGUGUGCAAGGGGUGCAUUGUGUGUAUGUGAUGAAUGUCAAUCUCUCCUCCCGCUCCAAUUUCCUUCUCCUCCUCCCAAUUUCUCUUUCUCACCCCUCCUUAUUUCUUUUUCUCACCCCUCUCUCACCCCCCCUAUUUCUCUUUCUCACCCCCUCCUUUCUCUCUCACCCACCUUCUUUUUCUUUCUCACCCCCCCCCUUUUCUCUCUCUCUCCCACCCCCUUAUUUCUCUCACCCCCCCUUAUUUCUCUCUCACCCCCCCUUAUUUCUCUCUCACCCCCUUAUUUCUCUUUCUCACCCCCCUUAUUUCUUUCUCACCCCCCUUAUUUUCUUUUCUCACCCCUCUCUCUACUUUACUUGUAUUUUUCCUCACCCUCUCUCACCCCUUAUUUCUUAUACCCCUCUGCUUUACUUAUUUCUUUUCUCACCCUCUCACCCCUGUUUCCUGUACUUGGCCGGACUAACAGGAGUGCACUCAGUGUUCCUGUUAGUCGACGUAGAGGCAACUGCUCUCUCUGUACCGUCCGGGACCAUGUGCUGCAGUGGGGGGAGCUGACAGGGCGGCUCCCUCCUGUCAGCCUCUCCUCCAGGCUGGACACGUGGUCGGUCGCCUCAUGGAAGCAGCCGGGCAAAGCUGCAGCCGCCUGAAUUCUAUACAAGCUGGGCGGCAUACCUGGUAUGGAGACAAUACAUAGCACCCCACCCGGCUGGCACCCGGGGCGGACCGCCCCCCCCGCCCCCCCCUUAGUACGCCACUGUCUUUAGAAAGACCAUUUAAUGGCAAGAAAAACAGUAUAUAAUAUGUGUGGGUACAGUAAAUGAGUAAGAGGAAAACGGUAAGAAAAUUGAAAAACGGUCUGGGCACUAAGGGGUUAAUAUGUCGAGGUAGUUAGGCUGAAGCACAGAAUAUAUGAAAACCCACUCUUGUUUAUGUUGAAGCCCAAUGAGUUGCUUCCUUUCCCGUUAGAGUAAUAGUUUUUAGUUUUCAAUUUCCGCCUCUAUAUCGGCACACUAUGCUGGCGCAAGGCAUUACCGGGCUGGUAUAGAAUGUUUUUCCAGGCUGCUUUUUGAGUCGGCACUGCUCCAAACACAAAGAGCAAAUUUAGUUAGUUAAAAUAACAGCAACAACCACAUGGCUUAUUCUAGCCAGAUAAAAAUCUUUCCUUUUAAGAAAUUUAAUCUAAGUGAAUUAAGUCAUUCUGUUGAUGCUGCUAUUUGGAACCCUUUAAAAUAUUUGCAAGACAUUAACUCCAUGCCCUUUAAAGAACUGCUUGUCCAUUGAAUCCUGUUGAUAUCGGUUGAUAUUUUUGUUUUUAGCAAACAGUAUAUUUAAUUUUUUAUCCAGUAGAAUAGUGUGAUAGCAGGACGUGCUAUGAUUUUUAUCUUACAAUGGCUUUAAAUUCAGCCUCAGAUCAUUAUAGUCAUUACUGUGAGAGAGCAUUCUAAAACAAAAAGGGACAUUUAAAUGGACACUUGCAGUUUGCAGCCAAUCAGAAUCCAGCUGGCACUAGAAUCACCAUCGCUGACCAGACAAUAUAGAGUGGAAAAUAAAUGAAUGGCUGCCCCCACCCGGUCUGCUGUUAAUUCCUGCCUCCCCAGGGAAUUAAAAUAAUCUCCAAACACAAUUAUGUUCAGGUUCUGUUAAUUUCUCUGUCUUCAAUUUUGGCAUGAUCUGGCAUCAAUCUACGCAAUUAUUGCAAAUCUUUUAACUUGUUAUUUUGCUAUUUAGAAAGCAGUUUAAUAAUAUAAUAUAAUUAGAUAGGUAGCAUGAAUUUAAAUUACCCAGCAAACAUAAGUAAGUGCAGCCAUAUGGCACCUGAAAUGGACUUAAAUAAAAGCACGGUCCAAUUAGAAACCUAGAACAAUCUGUUUUAUCAAAACUAUAAACUGAAAAUGAAAAAAAUAACAAGUAACUUUAUAUGCAACUUUAUGUGAAAUCUAACUCCCAACUGUUCCCCGACUGCUUGGAAAACCGUCUUAAAGGAACAUUGGGCCAGGCAGUAACCAAUAGUAUUAACCAAUAAAGGGCAGAAUGCUGAGAAUGUGCCAAGUGUGCCUAAUGUGGGCACAGAUCUCCGUCCUCCUGGUGAUUAGAGGGAUUCCAGUUUUAUUGGUUUAGGAAUACAUUUGGCUGUGAAGAGGACCCUAAAAAUGCUUGAAUUGCCCCUCCAGUUUUAAUCCUUAAAACUGGAGUCUUAUCACCCAGCUUUGCACAAGCCGCGUCACUAAGAUGGUAAUUUAAUCGUUGACUGUGCACUGACAGAUUGUGGGUAAAUCCAUGCCCGUGUGGCUCCAUCAUAUACUUGGACAGAAUCUCAUACCGCAGCGCAGCCAGCAUCACGGAUACCUGGGCAUGUCCGAUAGUCCAUGAUUGUCAUUCGCCCACUAUGCCAUAUAGCGGACAGGCUCAUGUUAGGGAACAUGACUGGCGUUUAAUGGGGGGAUUGUCUAUUAGCAGACCGCCCACCAUGUGCAAUGGCCAAGGGGGACACUUUCAUUUUAGGGGGUAUAACUGCAGGGAUGCACAGAGCUGAUUUAUUUAUGACAUGUAAGGUGACUUUGUCACCGGAUGUCAAGUGAUUGAUCUUUGACACACAUUGAUUAGCAAAUGAAGCAACACAUUAUAAAAGUGAACUCAAGCUAUAGGAGAUUUUCUGUUUAUAGGAUAAUUUACAGAGAAGUCAAAGUCCCCAUUUAAAGACACAGUAAUAUGAGUUUUAAUGCUGUGUAGCUCUGCAUUACCCCAUACCUCCCAACAUUUCGAAAAAACAAAGAGGAACACUUUAAAAUACCAAAGAACGGAGGACCGCUAUACAACCCUUAAUGUGCAAUAUUUGUAUAAUCGGUGAAAGGUAAAACAAAAUUAACAGCCAGGUGUAUAUACCUUUAAAUAUAAAAAUAUACACUAGUGUAACACCUUUAAAAAUAUAUGGGUAAAUAAAAUGCUAAUGGAACAUUCACAUAGUCCAGAGCUAAUGAACCUAGUUCAAGUAUGGAGAACCUUUUGGUCAGUUUGGGCGACCACUCACUUCUUCUAUGCAGCAAUUUAAAGGGAUAAUAACCCUUUGCUGUUAGGAUUUCUCAUAAUAAAGGAAAUAUACAACAUAUAUAGAAUGUAUGUGGUAAUUAUUAUACUCAGAACACUGGAGCUUAUAAUCUGGCUCAAUGUGGGAGCUAUGGUGUAGGACCAAACAACCUUCUUUUCCAGCUCAGGAACCCAGAUGAUCAAUAGCAAAAAGUAAAUACUUUAUUCAAAUACUUAAAAACAGUUAAAACAACAAAAAGUGCAGUAUAAAAUACCAAUCAAUGCAGGAGUCCAUAUGAUAGUUCCAGAAACGCGUUUCGCCUUUUUAUGACUUUCACAAUCCUGUAUAUGAGACUCUGGUCUGUUGAUGACCUCUAUUAUCUUCAACUGGAGAGGGUUAGUGUUUCUCCCCUCCCUCUGCAAGGAGCUCUGUAUUCCAAGACUUGUUUUGAACUAGACGUAGCGUCAUUUACAGGUUGCGUUGUUACGUGUCAUUUACCGCUUCAAUCAGCAGGGCUCUUAAUACAGUCAGGGGGUGAGGCAAUGUAACACAGGUAAUGUAUCUUAUUUAUUCAGACUCAUUUCUUAAAGGGAAACUCCAGUGCCAGGAAAUCAAUCUGUUUUCCUGGCACUGCAGGUCCCCUCUCCCUCCCACCUCCCAAUCCCUGGUUGUUGAAGGCAGCGACAUGUCCCACAUAGCUGCUUCUUCCUCCACCGCCGCUCCUCCUCUGAAUUACGUCGGCCGGUGGGCGAGACUGAUCUCGCCCACCGGCCAGGGAGACCUAAUGCGCAUGCGCAGCAAUGCUUUUCAAUGCUUUCCUAUGGAGAAUUGAACGACACUGGAGGUCCUCACACAGAGAAGCAGGAAGUGCCCUCUAGUGGCUGUCUAGUAGUUUAUUUAAAAAAAUUGCAAUAUUUACACUUGCAGGGUUAAGAGUAGUGGGAGUUGGUGCCUGGAGUGUCCCUUUAAGGCAUUUAUUGUAGUUUAAAGACUCAUUACUGGGAGUAUUAUUGAUGUGGAGCUCUGUUAUACACUCAGACACAUUACUGGGAGUAUUAUUGCUGUGGAGCUCUGUUAUACACUCAGACACAUUACUGGGAGUAUUAUUGCUGUGGAGCUCUGUUAUACACUCAGACACAUUACUGGGAGUAUUAUGGGAGUAUUAUCACUGUGGAGCUCUGUUAUACAAUCAGACACAUUACUGGGAGUAUUAUUAAUGUGGAGCUCUGUUAUACACUCAGACACAUUACUGGGAGUAUUAUUGCUGUGGAGCUCUGUUAUACACUCAGACAUUACUGGGAGUAUUAUUACUGUGUGGCUCUGUUAUACACUCAGACACAUUACUGGGAGUAUUAUUGCUGUGGAGCUCUGUUAUACACUAGACACAUUACUGGGAGUAUUAUUGCUGUGGAGCUCUGUUAUACACUCAGAAACAUUACUGGGAGUAUUAUUGCUGUGGAGCUCUGUUAUACACUCAGACACAUUACUGGGAGUAUUAUUGCUGUGGAGCUCUGUUAUACACGCAGACACAUUACUGGGAGUAUUAUUGCUGUGGAGCUCUGUUAUACACUCAGACACAUUACUGGGAGUAUUAUUGCUGUGGAGCUCUGUUAUACGUGCAGACACAUUACUGGGAGUAUUAUUGCUGUGAAGCUCUGUUAUACACUCAGAUACAUUACUGAGAGUAUUAUUACUGUGGAGCUCUGUUAUACGCUCAGAUACAUUACUGGGAGUAUUAUUGCUGUGGAGCUCUGUUAUACGCUCAGACACAUUACUGGGAGUAUUAUUGCUGUGGAGCUCUGUUAUACACUCAGACACAUUACUGGGAGUAUUAUUGCUGUGGAGCUCUGUCAUACACAGACACAUUACUGGGAGUAUUAUUGCUGGGGAGCUAUGUCAUACACACAGACACAUUACUGGGAGUAUUAGUGCCGUGGAGCUCUGUUAUACACUCAGACACAUUACUGGGGGUAUUAUUGCUGUGGAGCUCUGUCACACACACAGACACAUUACUGGGAGUAUUUUUGCUGCGGAGCUCUGUUAUACACUCAGAUACAUUACUGGGAGUAUUAUUGCUGUGGAGCUCAGUUAUUAAAUAUUUGAAAGGGUCUGAUGCAUACAAAUUAUAAUAAAUGGUGAGAGCUCUUCCUGCAGUAAAAUAGUUGCAGUACAGUUGGUGUCCACCCUCCUUGUUCAUUAAGCCCUCCACCCCAUAGCCGGGACAGAGUUUGUCGUCUAAACAGAAAUCCUCAUCAAUUCAUAAAGCUGAGGGGACAUGCGACAGACCUGCCGCACAGAGACUGGGAUGAAAUUGGCUUAGACGCGAACAAGUUAAAAAUAAAACAGCUAACAAUUCCAUGAAACUGAGGAGACUGGCGCGAAAUGUGUGAUUGAUUUAACCAUUUCUUUUCUGGAAAUAUUUGGCACCUCUUACAGUGAAUAUCAGAGAAUAGCAGAAAAUGAAAUGCAUGCUGGAAGCGUUGUGAAUGGCGCUUUGCAGCGUAGAGCGAUAUGUGAAAGCACUGUUCUCUCUGGCAGUACGAGCUUCAAACGAGAAACUCAUUAUUGAAGUAGCAGGCACUGCCGUACACUUGUGCAUGUUUGUAUUGCUUUGUAGUGCACUGUGUAUCGCCUUUGUAGUACGAGCACUUGCUGACAGCGUUCGUUCUGGCUAAAUGAGAGAGGAGUAUACCCGACACAAUGGCUGCCGAACGACUGUACUACGCAAUGGGGAAAUGACAGGCGUGCAAGUGGCUGAUCUGAAGAGCUUGCUAUCAAAUAGUCACAGAACAUAGUAAAGAGUGAUCAUUUAAAGAUAUUCUUGUAGAUUUAAAUGAAAUUCAAUAUUAAACCAGAACGCAUUUACCCAGUGUGUUAGAAUAAAUGUGGGACUACUCUCGAGUCCACAGCAAAGAAGGUAUUUUCUUUUUCAGUAUCCAUAAAAUUUAAAAAGGACAGCCUCAGCAUUAUGUUCUUUUUCAGUGUGUGAUCUACCACAGAACACAUUAUGAAAGACCAAUAUCAAAGACUAUAACCCCAUAGAACACAAGCACAGCUUAGUGGAAAAGGCUAGGAUGUGGGAAUUAGGAGGAAGCUAUGUAGGGAUUGGUGGUUUACAGGGUAAGGGUCUGGGCUAUAUAAAUAGGCAGCCAUCUUAGGAAAUUCACUUUUGACUUGCCUACCUCGCUGAGUUUGUGUGCACCAUGUGUGUACACUUCUUUGGCCUGGUAGGUGUCUCAUUUUGUCUUUACUGCAGGAUGGAUGAGGUGGAGAGGAAGCUGUAGGGGAUCAAGACGGUGGCAAGGGAUCAAGGGGCCGAGUAGAUGCGGGCGCAGCUCACUUUAGUGCUGGCAGUGGUGGAUCAAGAUGGCGGUGGCCAGAGCCACCCUGUGAGGGCCUACACGUCGCCUGUGCCCUGGCCAGGGAUCAGGGGCCAGCAGGCCCAGGGUCUACUAGGUGGCCGGGAAGGACUGUGACCUGGACGGCAGACACCGGGGCUACGCGUUCGAGGCUCCGCAUCUAGCUGUGGUGCCAGAGCCUCGGAGUGUGGCAGUGCGGCAGGAGGCCGCCCACGUAGCUUGCAGUACAGCCUCCGUACCAGAUGGGGCCGCCCUUGGUGGUGGGACCGCCGUGAUCGGUGGUAUGGCCCCAGGACAGGAGCAGGCGGAGGGGCGGUGGGUCCUCCAGGACAGCGAGACAGGCAAGUGUGGAGGCAGGGGGGCUGGGCUGGCUUCUAUCUGGGUCCCUGGAUAGCAGGGGUGGGGCCUUGGGGUUGCAACCUUAGACAGUGGGCCCCCAGGGGACAGUGGGAGGUACCCCUCCAGGUGCUACAGGUGUGGGGUCCAACAUCCCGGUGGGUCCUGAUGUACGGCAGGGGGGUUCUGCCAGAAGUUGGAAGGGAACAGCUGAAGGGGGUCGGCAAGGCUGGGCGCUGGGGGAUGGAGCCCCUUUGGUGCAGCGGAUAAGGGUAUUGGGCAGCGUUAUGCAGCCCAUGUCGGGGGACAUAGUGGAGCUGGCAUGCAGGCAGGUCAGUCAGACACACUACAUCCCCAGCACACACACAGACACACACUUCAUCCCCAGCACACCCACAUAAAGACACUACAAUUGUAGAAGCAUAUAUGUUGGUUUUUUUUGGGGGGGGCAGCAUUUCAUACUUGGAUCCCGGCCCUGUUUGUGUGUGUGUGUGUGUGUCGGUAUGUAUUUGUGUUGUCAGUGUGUGGCAAACCUAGGCACCUAAGACUAUUUUUUCUUUAUAUCUGAGGGUUGCCCUAGAGAGACUGGUUUAUAUAUGGUGUUUGAUGUGUUUGCUUAAAAUGUGAAAGAGGGAAUUCGUAUGCUAGUGGCACGAAAGCCGCUAGCAUUCAAAUGGUAGUUUCACGAACAGUGAUUUUCAAGUACCGAAUGGGAGCCCACACACAGGGGGUCAUGUCACUCCCAUUAACUGAUUGCAACAAUGUAUCUAUCGGCUGUUAAUUGAUUCCCAGGGUUGCCGUCGUUUGGCAAACCGGUGUUUGGUUGUUGAGUGCCUGGAACUAAAAUCAGCUACUCAACGGCACGAACACUGCUGGACUUCCAGGCCGUUCGGGAGCACCGGUCUUUCAGUACUUUUCCCCACUUAUGCAUUCGUGACUUUUAUGAAGAGUUGAUGUUACAAUGUAUUUUGUGCGGCGUUCAGUUAAUUGUGCUGGGAUCUGAGCGGUACUUUCACGAAGUAUGCGCUCAGACCCCAGCUAUCUGCCGAUCGGUCAUUCGGUACAAUGGCACGAAUAUUAUACCAUUUACAAAUUUUUAUGUGAAAAGCCAGUUCUGCUGUAUGGAGGGAUAAUCCACUUAGCAGGAUAUUCUUGUGGGAGUAUCCCUCUUGUACAGCGUGAUUGAUUUAACCAUUUCUUUUACAAGGGCAGGUCUAACAUUCAGUGCUAUACCUGAUACAAGGGCAGGUCUAACAUUCAGUGCUAUACCUGCAAACAAUGGGGCCACAUGGCGAGAGAGUGCACUCAGAACCGGAGUCGUCAUGGUGGGUGAAAUGUCCUGUAUGUUAAGUCCCCCAUGUAGUCCCCUACUGUAUAACUCCUGUAAAGUAAUUAAGGAAACCCCUUGCAUGGGGAAUCGCAUAAAUACUGGAGCUUGUGAAUAAAAACCUCAGUUGACUCCCAGAACUGUGUUUCAUCCGGUUACUGGGGGGAUUUGGGAUAUUGGCUUCAUUUUCAGGGCUUUCCUUGGAUUACCUUCAGAGAUUACCAGCAGAGAUAUUGGUAUUUAAUAUUGCAGCUCUGCUACAAUUGGUGUCAAGCGACGGGAUCCAACCUUAUAGCCGAAAAGCGUGGUUCGUGCAAUUGAAACUGCCAAACAGGAAAGUGAAUGGCAAUUCGUGUGCAACAAAGAAACGAACGCAGAGGUGAAUGGAGACAGAUUAUACUACAUUGAAAUGGCAAACACUGAAAGAGCUAUUGGAAGCCAGGGGUAUGAUAGCCAGCAAUAAGUCGAAGGCUGUACUUAUUGCCGAACUGAUGGAGGGAGACAGAGCCCGCAGUGCUACUCCUACACCCGACAUGGAAGAGACCCCAUUCCAGAAAGAGAUGAGAACCAGGCUGGAAUUCCUACCCCAGCCAGUACCUCUGGAAAUGCUGACGGUACUGAUGGCGGAUGUGCAGGAGUAUGUGAUGGCACACAGACCACAGGAUUUACCCUCCAGGGCAGAAUCUAUUGCUGCUUCAAUCACCAGCCAGGUAAAGCCAAAGAUACCGCACCAUGCUUUUAAAAUAUUUUGUGAAGAGAAAGAUGUGAUUGAAGAGUACCUACAGGAUUUUGAAAGACUGUGUGACCUGCAUGAUCUGAAGCAGGCAGUGUGGGUACCCUUACUGGUGGGCAAAUUAUCUGGUCGGGCAGAAGAAGCAUACCGAGCCGUGCCCAGAGAUGACAGUAAAAUUAUGCCAAGGUGAAACAAGCUAUAUUGGAGAGAUAUGUCAUUACCCCGGAGGCACACAGGCGCAAGUUUAGAGGACUGCGCAAACCAGAUAAAGAUUCCCACGCAGAAUGGGCACACAAGCUUGAUCAAGUCUCCCAGGGGUGGAUACAAGCCAGUCAAGCUACCACCAUGGAGGAGCUAUGCCAGCUGCUAUUGUUGGAGCAGUUUUUCAAUGGGCUGACACCAGAGGCACAAGAAUGGGUAAGAGACAGAAAACCCCUCACCCUAACAGAAGCCGCACAGCUGGCAGACCAGCACUAUGAUUCUAGGAGGCUUCAUGGCAACCUGAACCGAGGGUAUACUCGACCCACCACCCGGCCACCUACAGCUACUACUACCGCACCCACAACAGCACCAUUCUGACCAGCAACUGUGGGGCAAAUCCCACUGUCCUAAUACAAGGGCAGGUCUAACAUUCAGUGCUAUACCUGCAAACAAUGGGCCUACAUGGCAAGAGAGUGCACUCAGAACUGGAGUCGUCAAGCCUGGAGCCAAGUAAGACCAAACCCAGCACCAUGAGCAGCCACACACUACUACCAGGCAGAGCCAGCUGUACGGAGGGAUAAUCCACUUAGCAGGAUAUUCUUGUGGGAGUAUCCCUCUCGUACAGCAGUGCAUGAUGGGAGAAAUGUCCUGUAUGUUAAGUCCCCCAUGUAGUCCCCUACUGUAUAACCCAUGUAAAGUGACUAAGGAAACCCCUUGCAUGGGGAAUUGCAUAAAUACUGGAGCUUGUGAAUAAAAACCUCAGUUGACUCCCAGAACUGUGUUUCGUCCGGUUACUGGGGGGGAUUUGGGAUUGUAGCGGAACCAGCCUCUCCACUGGGCAUUGGAGAAGACUGAUUGCCAGCCUCCUGCCCUGUGACUAUGGCCCCAUGUUGAAAUGCUGGAUUUUCCCCUUGCAAAAACCCGAAAGCCGGGUCAUUCGGUACUUUCCCUAUGUGAGCAGUGUUACAUCAGAUAGCUAUGCCAUGGAGCCCAUUCGUAUAACGAAAGACUAUGUGAAAGAUUUUGGCUCCAUGGCAAUUGAACUGUAUGUAUGUGAUCUGAGUGCCAUUCAGUAAUAAUUUGCGCUCAGAUCUAAGCUAUCUGGGGAUAUGUUGAAUGUACCCGUUUUAUGCAAUUGCUGCACAGUUAUAUAUUUUUAGGUAUUUUAUUGUAUUUUGCUACCAUGUGGCUAAUCGAGUUUUGCCUCUGUCCUUGGAGAUAAUUGGAUUACUUCCCAAAUAUCUCCAGGAUAGAAGACUCUGUGGAACUGGUUUUGGCCAGAAAAACCAUGCUUCAUUUUGUCAAAUAGGACUUUCCCUUAAUUUUUUAACCCCUGAACCGAUUGCCCUGAUUUUUGAGUAUGUGUAUAUUUCAAGCAUGCGGAUUCUGAAAAUUUAUGUUUUAUGUGAAUGGCAUGUAUAUUUUGGAAGUUAUUAAUAUUUUGUAAAAAACUGUAUUUCUCUGCCUGCGAUAAUUAUAUUACCCAUUGUGUUCAGUAAUCAUAUGACAGGCAGAGGGGAGGAUUUUGUGUGGGAGUGUCUGUGUGUAUUGUACGGAUUGAUUGGUUGUAUUUCAAAACCCUGUGGGCAGUACUAUAUUUGUGGAUUGUGAAUAAAAGAGGCUGUAUGUGCCAGUCCAGUCAGUUCUGCUUGACCUCAAAACGAAGUGUCGUCUCGUUAUUGGGGGAAUUGGAUUGUAUGCUGAUUGCCAGGAGUGUAAGCUGAUUGUAUGCUUUUCCUGUUCAGCUGUUUACAGCAUUCACAUGCUUGAGAGCAUUCAUAUGCUUCUCCGGUUUGGUGGUUGUGGUGUCUGCUGCAGUGCUUGGAGUCCUCAGGAAGCACUAGGAGCAUCCUUCAAGGGAGGUACCCANNNNNNNNNNNNNNNNNNNNNNNNNNNNNNNNNNNNNNNNNNNNNNNNNNNNNNNNNNNNNNNNNNNNNNNNNNNNNNNNNNNNNNNNNNNNNNNNNNNNGUGCUUGGCACCCCCCACACCCCCCUCCAUAAAAAAAAAAAAAAAAAAAACCUGUAAAAAAUGUUAAAGGUUUUAUUUCUUUUAUUUUUACAAUUUCUAAACUUUGCAAAACCGCUGUCAGCCCCUCCUGCCCUGCCCCUCCUACAAAACCUCUGUCCUGCCCCUUCUACAAAUCCUGUACUGCCCUAUCUACAAAACCCCCGCAACCCCCUUCCACAAAUCCCCUGCUUAUCCCCCCUUAUAAAGACUCCUGUCCCAAUACAAAACCCCCACCCCCUUCUACAAAAUCCCUGCAGCCCCACACACACAUUUACAGGCAGACAGUCACACACUCAGUAGACAGUCACACACAGUUACAGGCAGACAGUCACACACAGUCACAGGCAGACAGUCACACAUACACAUUUCCUCCGUGCGGCCAGUUUAUCAGCUGUUUGCUUGAGUGAGCUGUACUGGCCGCACGGCACCCUAACUACCAUGGGACACUGUGCGGCCACAGCUCACACAGCCCCCUCCAGCCAGGGCCGGUACAAGGAUUUUUGCCGCCCAAGGCAAAAGUAAAGUUUGCCG
RNAcentral lists this long non-coding RNA (12386 nucleotides) under Pelobates cultripes (western spadefoot toad). Lineage: Eukaryota; Metazoa; Chordata; Amphibia; Anura; Pelobatidae. The record is from RNAcentral.